UACGUAGGGAGCGAGCGUUAUCCGGAAUUACUGGGUGUAAAGGGUGCGCAGGCGUCUUGUUGUGUUAGGAGUUAAAUUUCAAGGCUUAACCUUGGGGCUGCUCCUAAAACUGGCAGGAUAGAGUGUGGAAGACGGAAGUGGAAUUUCUAGUGGAGAGGUAAAAUCCGUUGAUAUUAGAAGGAACACCCGUGGUGUAAACGGCUUCCGAGUCCAUAACUGACGCUCAGGCACGAAAGCUAGGGUAGCAAACAGGAUUAGAUACCCUGGUAGUCCUAGCCAUAAACGAUGAAUACUUGGUGGUGGGCAGUUCAAUCUGUUCGCCGCCGGAGCUAACGCGUUAAGUAUUCCACCUGGGGACUACGGCCGCAAGGUUGAA
Molecule: ribosomal RNA, 376 nt
Filed under: uncultured bacterium
Lineage: Bacteria
Description: bacterial SSU rRNA
Rfam family: Bacterial small subunit ribosomal RNA
Source: RNAcentral